This 251-nucleotide long non-coding RNA is filed under the name Selaginella moellendorffii. RNAcentral describes it as "long non-coding RNA (SMOE_LNC001520)". Lineage: Eukaryota; Viridiplantae; Streptophyta; Lycopodiopsida; Selaginellales; Selaginellaceae. The record is from RNAcentral.
GUGGGGAGGAGUAAAUGUGUGGCGGCGGAGGAGAGUAGAAAUGGGGCGGUGGCGGUGGUGGUGAGUGGACAGGAGGCGGAGGCGGUGGUGGAGGCGGCGGUGAAUAGACUGGAGGUGGCGGCGGUGGGGGAGGUGGUGGCGGAGGUGGGGAGUAAACUGGCGGCGGGGGUGGCGGUGGUGGCGGUGGUGGGGAGUAAACUGGUGGAGGAGGAGGCGGCGAUUGGACCGGAGGUGGCGAUGGUGGAUGGACU